Molecule: ribosomal RNA, 251 nt
Filed under: uncultured bacterium
Lineage: Bacteria
Description: partial 16S ribosomal RNA
Rfam family: Bacterial small subunit ribosomal RNA
Source: RNAcentral
CGUAGGGUGCAAGCGUUAACCGGAAUUACUGGGCGUAAAGCGUGCGCAGGCGGCUUUGCAAGACAGAUGUGAAAUCCCCGGGCUUAACCUGGGAACUGCAUUUGUGACUGCAUGGCUGGAGUGCGGCAGAGGGGGAUGGAAUUCCGCGUGUAGCAGUGAAAUGCGUAGAUAUGCGGAGGAACACCGAUGGCGAAGGCAAUCCCCUGGGCCUGCACUGACGCUCAUGCACGAAAGCGUGGGGAGCAAACAGG